CAUUACCUAGAGUUGUAGGCUUUGCCUACCAUCUCUUACCCAUGUCUUUUGAGUACCUUCGUUUCCUCGGCGGGUCCGCCCGCCGAUUGGACAAACUUAAACCCUUUGUAAUUGAAAUCAGCGUCUGAAAAAACAUAAUAGUUACAACUUUCAACAACGGAUCUCUUGGUUCUGGCAUCGAUGAAGAACGCAGCGAAAUGCGAUAAGUAGUGUGAAUUGCAGAAUUCAGUGAAUCAUCGAAUCUUUGAACGCACAUUGCGCCCCUUGGUAUUCCAUGGGGCAUGCCUGUUCGAGCGUCAUUUGUACCUUCAAGCUCUGCUUGGUGUUGGGUGUUUGUCUCGCCUUUGCGUGUAGACUCGCCUUAAAACAAUUGGCAGCCGGCGUAUUGAUUUCGGAGCGCAGUACAUCUCGCGCUUUGCACUCAUAACGACGACGUCCAAAAAGUACUUUUUACACUCUUGACCUCGGAUCAGGUAGGGAUACCCG
This 486-nucleotide ribosomal RNA is filed under the name uncultured Phoma. RNAcentral describes it as "eukaryotic LSU rRNA". The stretch from base 146 to 299 matches the Rfam family "5.8S ribosomal RNA". Lineage: Eukaryota; Fungi; Ascomycota. The record is from RNAcentral.